GCUGCUGUAGUUUCAUCACUGAGAAGCUCCUCUCUCCUCCCUUCACAGGGCCAGUCUUCUUACCCUUGAGGUUUCAGCCUCAGAGAAGCAUUCUCUGAGGACUUGAGCUAAAGCAGGACCCCGAACCCCUUUGUUUUAUGUCUUGGCCCCGUGUGUGCGUGUGCGCACGCACGUGUGUGUAUGUG
This is a long non-coding RNA of Sapajus apella (tufted capuchin), 185 nucleotides long. RefSeq lists it as uncharacterized. The record is from RefSeq and is a predicted model, not a curated record. NCBI's taxonomy places the organism in Eukaryota, Metazoa, Chordata, Mammalia, Primates, Cebidae. The transcript is spliced from 4 exons.